Salvia miltiorrhiza (redroot sage) is the source of this 677-nucleotide long non-coding RNA. RefSeq lists it as uncharacterized. The record is from RefSeq and is a predicted model, not a curated record. NCBI's taxonomy places the organism in Eukaryota, Viridiplantae, Streptophyta, Magnoliopsida, Lamiales, Lamiaceae. The transcript is spliced from 2 exons.
GGCCGCCCAUUUCCUCCCCCUUUCUUCCCCUUUCACUUUCUUUUCUUCUCCCACCCCACCGCCUCCUUAAAUGGCGCGUCAACCCCACACAACGCCCCAAAACCUCCCCAAGCACCGGUGUUCAGAAUCCACCCGAGGGCGUACCGCCGCGGUGCGUCCCAAAAUUCGGCUCGACCCGGUGCUUAAAUGGAUGCGUUGUGGAUGUUCCCCAAAAUUUCAAUUAGUCGUCACAGGGCGCAUUCCUGGGCCGUACGUGAGACGCGUCAUCGACAAGUAGUGGGGCCUGUUCGAAAAAAUGAUAUCAUGCCUCUACAGCACCACCUCGGUCCAGGUCGAAGACAACAUGACUAGGAUUAGAAGCGAGCCAAAGAGCACGACAGAAAUCUUGGUGAGGAUUUUUACCCAAGAGAUGGAUAUGACCGAUUAUCGAGAGCCCUUUCAGCCACGUUGCUACUAAUACCGCUAGUAAUCAAAUUCAGGUUAUUUUUUUUCUAUGAGCUUAUAAGUUCUUGGAUCUUAUUUUUUCAAACACUUUAAAAAAUCAUAUUAUAAAUUAUUUUAAAGAAUUUAUAAUUUCAGCCAAACACCCUCUUAACUGUCGACGCUACAUUAGUUAAAGCAGGAGCGAGUUUGUUGUAGUUAUCUCUAAUUCUACUCAACGGUGCACAUUAUAUUAA